GGAAGGUGCGAGCGUUAAUCGGAAUUACUGGGCGUAAAGCGCGCGUAGGCGGCUAGAUAAGUCGGGUGUGAAAGCCCCGGGCUCAACCUGGGAACUGCAUUCGAUACUGUCUGGCUAGAGUGUGAUAGAGGGAGGCGGAAUUCCGCAUGUAGCGGUGAAAUGCGUAGAGAUGCGGAGGAACACCAAUGGCGAAGGCAGCCUCCUGGAUUAACACUGACGCUGUGGUGCGAAAGCGUGGGGGGAGCAAACAGGAUUAGAUACCCUGGUAGUCCACGCCCGUAAACCGAUGUCAGCUAGCCGUUGGGAGCAAUUUGGCUCUUGGUGGCGCAGCUAACGCGAUAAGUUGACCGCCUGGGGAGUACGGUCGCAAGAUUAA
RNAcentral lists this ribosomal RNA (376 nucleotides) under uncultured organism. Its description in RNAcentral is "partial 16S ribosomal RNA". It matches the Rfam family "Bacterial small subunit ribosomal RNA", at positions 527 to 897 of the family's 1533-position model. The record is from RNAcentral.